Molecule: long non-coding RNA, 1130 nt
Organism: Haliaeetus leucocephalus (bald eagle)
Lineage: Eukaryota; Metazoa; Chordata; Aves; Accipitriformes; Accipitridae
Exons: 3
Source: RefSeq, a predicted model, not a curated record
UUGUAGGCUCGAUAAUAUCGCAGCUUGAGCUAUUCUUCUAACCUGCAGUGCUCCCAUUUUACUUCAGAGUGGCCUCGGAACCGUUCUGGUCAGCCCAGGCGAGGGCAGCAGCUUCAGCCCAAGGUGGAAGCCCGAGCGAUGGGCGCUGGUUUCUCCUGCGGCUGCACGUCCUGAGUCACAGCACUGAGACAGGUGCUUUCACAGGGUGAUGUGAUGCUGUAGUGACAUAAACAUUAAAUGGAAGCAAAUUGGUGAUUGCCCCAUCAGGACUUGGGACUGUUGUAAAACUGGAGGAAAUGAAAACUCAUGAUUGAAUCUGGAGGAAAACACUGUCUUCUGGAAAGGGUAAGGAGCUAAAGGUCAGCCAGAAAGAAAUUUAACUUUCCACUGAGAAUGAAUUACAUGGAUUUCUCCUUUUAACCUAAAGGAACUCUUUGAACUGAAAGCCAAAUACCUCAAACUCUUCCUAAAAAUCUCCGACAGCACAGAGGAAUAUCUGCAGUUCCCUACAACCUUCCUCACAGUGUACUGAGAUUGAUGCUAAGUGUUUAUGCAAUGAAUAUUUGUUUUUUUAAUGUAAUGUUAGCAUUAUUAAUGGUUAGUAUUUAAAAUGGUUUUGCAAAGACACGUAGGUGAAAAGUUACACGCAUCCCACUGCUUCUUUUUAAAAGACCCGGGAAUGUCACUAAAGAACUGGAAGCGUGGAUUAAGGGUUAAUGAUUUAUGCAUAUCCCAUUUCUGAAAAGAAACGUCUGUGACCACAUGUAAGAGUACAUGUGAACUAGUUUAACAGGGGUGAUUUUGCAUGCACGUGACAAAACUGCUACAGUGCCUUUCCUGCUUUAUCAACAAAGCAUCAAAAAAGAUGGACGUAGGUUCAGGUGCAAAUCCGGCUGUAGAUACAGAGCGGGUUUGUAUCCAACCGUUACAGCCUGGCUAUGCACUUUACCUCUGAAUUACGAAGCACAGAGUGUUACUGAUUCUCUGGGAAGUCUGCCGUCUUUUCUUGCUCUCGUGUAUCGUUUUAUUCAGAUGCCGUCCAUUGACGUAAUUCUAAGUAACUCUUCCUACAGUACAGAAGGCGGGCGCGGCUCCGUUGGCAGGUUUGAGGCCGCGCGCUCUCCCUCUCG